RNAcentral lists this ribosomal RNA (267 nucleotides) under Candidatus Bathyarchaeota archaeon. Its description in RNAcentral is "partial 23S ribosomal RNA". It matches the Rfam family "Archaeal large subunit ribosomal RNA", at positions 2766 to 2987 of the family's 2987-position model. Lineage: Archaea; Thermoproteati; Candidatus Bathyarchaeota. The record is from RNAcentral.
GACGUUGCGGCCGCUAGUUAACCGGUUGUCCGAUAGGGCAGACGCCGGGCAGCCACGCCGCUGAGGAUAAGGGCUGAAAGCAUCUAAGCCCGAAGCCUCUCCUGAAAAUAGGCAGCCGUUCCCGAAGAUGGCUGGGCUGGCAACAGCUUGGCUUUACGGGACGAGGGCUCCCAUAGAAGAUGGGUUUAAUGGAACCGGGGUGUACGCCGGAAGACUUCGGUCGACCGGCUCAGCCUGCGGUCCCCAACCGCUCGAGGUGUUGGGUCU